This 504-nucleotide ribosomal RNA is filed under the name Chaceon maritae. RNAcentral's name for it is "partial 16S ribosomal RNA". It matches the Rfam family "Archaeal large subunit ribosomal RNA", at positions 1937 to 2660 of the family's 2987-position model. Lineage: Eukaryota; Metazoa; Arthropoda; Malacostraca; Decapoda; Geryonidae. The record is from RNAcentral.
AUUAAUAGUCUGGCCUGCUCACUGACAUAAUAUAAUGUUAAAGAGCCGCGGUAUUCUGACCGUGCAAAGGUAGCAUAAUCAUUAGUUCUUUAAUUGAGAACUUGUAUGAAUGGUCGGACAAGAGAAAUCCUGUCUCUGCUAUUAUAGUAGAAUUUAACUUUUAAGUGAAAAGGCUUAAAUUUUUCAAGGGGACGAUAAGACCCUAUAAAGCUUUAUAUAUUAAUUAGAAUUAAUUAAAUUGAAUAAAUAAAAAUUUAGUCUUAAAAAUAUAUUUAGUUGGGGCGACGAAAGUAUAAUUAAUAAUAACUGCUUAAAUUUAAUACAAUAAUAAAUGAUUUUUUUUUAAUUGAUCCUUUUUAAAGAUUAAAGACCAAGUUACUUUAGGGAUAACAGCGUAAUUUUUUUUGAGAGUUCAUAUCGAAGAAGAAGUUUGCGACCUCGAUGUUGAAUUAAAAUAUCUUUAUAGUGCAGCAGCUAGAAAAAGAAGGUCUGUUCGACCUUUAA